Heterocephalus glaber (naked mole-rat) is the source of this 479-nucleotide long non-coding RNA. The record is from Ensembl. NCBI's taxonomy places the organism in Eukaryota, Metazoa, Chordata, Mammalia, Rodentia, Bathyergidae.
GGUUGACUCCAAGUUUCUGACUUAAUGGAGCAGAGAGACAGUGUCCUCCCUAACAGAAUUCAAGGACUUGGAAGGUGGGAGAGAAUCACCAGGAACUUCCAGAUUUAAGAACAAAAUCACGAUGCUACAAUGCAAAACUUCUCAAACUGCUGCUCCAGGCCCCACUCCAGUCUUCCCACAACCACUCCCAAACACACCCUCUCUGUUCCAUUUAGCCUAAUUUUCUCACUGGCCCACGACACAUCAAGUCCAUCCACACCCUGUUCCCUGUCCUACAUCUAUUAAUUCUACCUACCCUUCCAGACCAGGCAGUUUUACCUUCCUCAUUCUUAUCCACUGAGGAUUACCAAGCUCUCCUCUUUAAAUUACUAGUUCUCAGCAAGUGUGGGCAGCAAGAGAAAGAGAUCUGGCUGGUGUCCAGUGUUAUCAAGGCCAGAGGCAGAGAGAAGUGAUUCAGGCUCAGAGAAGUAGCUCAAGGG